Unclassified non-coding RNA from Ursus americanus (American black bear), 77 nucleotides. NCBI's taxonomy places the organism in Eukaryota, Metazoa, Chordata, Mammalia, Carnivora, Ursidae. The record is from Ensembl.
AAAGCGUUAAUUUAUAGACAGCAUUGCGUUCCUUGCAGAACACCUUUCAAAAGACCUCUUCAUCAAGUAGAUAAGAC